This is a long non-coding RNA of Beta vulgaris subsp. vulgaris (sugar beet), 878 nucleotides long. RefSeq lists it as uncharacterized. The record is from RefSeq and is a predicted model, not a curated record. The transcript has 3 exons. NCBI's taxonomy places the organism in Eukaryota, Viridiplantae, Streptophyta, Magnoliopsida, Caryophyllales, Amaranthaceae.
GUCCUGCCUCAACGACAAACCUCAUUCGUCCCUCACCACCAACCACCACUGUAACCUUCUCUCUCAGACUCUCACCCUAGUACAGGCCUCGUCCCUCACCACCAACCACCGCCGGCUUGAAUUCAUCCUCGUCAAACAACCACCGACUUCAAUUCGCUCUCGUCAACAACCUUCUUUCGCACCCAUUCUUUCUUCUCAGCGCUCCGUUUUCUCUCUCCUCGACAACGCUUCCAAUGGCCCCCACUCAGGUCCCGCACCGGUUGAAGAGAGACCAUGGCAUAGAAGGUGGAAUCUCUGUGGUUUUCUCCUUGGAAAAACCCAAAGUGAAGCUGCUUCCAUUUAAGGCAAUCAUGGGAAUCUGGAGUUCUAGCUGAUGGCUGGCUAGCGAACUUGAAACGAAGAGUCAGUGCAUUCAUCAUGGUGUUAAUGAAACUAGAUCUACAAAAGGUAAUAUUGAGUAGCCUCAGACUUCAAGAGUUCUGCCAACUUACGAAGUCUAUAUUUCUCUUUAAUAAUUCUGCCAAUCUGGCCGACAUGGUGAAGCACUUGAUGCAAAUACAAAUUACUUGGACAUGAUGCAACUACAAACAAAAUUGGUUAAGGUUUUUUGUUACUUUUCCUUUCUCUCUCUAAUCUAGAUAAAUGAGCCCUAAGGGGUAAUUCAUCUUUAUGCAGUUGCUCGAGCUGGUGCAGCCGGUGUUUCUGUUCUGCGACUUCUUCUUCUUUGUUCUAUCUUUUGCUUGUUUACAGUUGUUGCUGUCACUUGUCCUUGUUUUGGUGAUGUUGUACAGUGACAUUGAUGCUAAGAUUACAUUUGAACUAAGUUCUAUUUUUUUAUUCUCUAGCUAGUUAUGUUAUUUGAUGGAUAUUGGAUAGUA